AUAAGACGAGAAGACCCUGUGGAACUUAAAAAUAACGACCACCCUUCCACCAACAACACCCACUGGACCCACCCACAUAAAACGCCUGGUCGACAUUUUUUGGUUGGGGCGACCUUGG
This 118-nucleotide ribosomal RNA is filed under the name Meleagris gallopavo (turkey). RNAcentral describes it as "partial 16S ribosomal RNA". Lineage: Eukaryota; Metazoa; Chordata; Aves; Galliformes; Phasianidae. The record is from RNAcentral.